Molecule: long non-coding RNA, 783 nt
Filed under: Brassica napus (rape)
Lineage: Eukaryota; Viridiplantae; Streptophyta; Magnoliopsida; Brassicales; Brassicaceae
Description: long non-coding RNA (BNAP_LNC001372)
Source: RNAcentral
GCUUUUUUUACUGAAAUAUUAUAUUCACAUUAAAUCAAAAUACACAAGAGCAUACAUUGUAAUCAAACAGAAGAUCAACACACAAGAUCAAACCCAAAACCGACAAGUUAAAAAUAACCCUAGGAGUCCAAAAUCAGCGGAUGAUAAACAAUCCCCUGAGCCAAAACAUGACGAUUUUAAAACAAAAAAAAAAACAAAGGAAAAUAAAGCAUAUAGAAUGAAGACGAGGAAGAAAGCUCCUAAGAAACAUGAUUCCUAAACUCCAAACUACUAUUAAAACAGAUAACUCGAACCAUAAACUUCCCAUAGUGAAUAGUGCAGACUGAGUAGAACCAAGCUUCAGAUCCCAGAGCAACAUAACAUGUAGUUCCAUAACCGUUAAUUGGAACCAGCCAAAUUGAAUCUAGUGACAUAAAUUGACACAAAUGAAGCUGGGUAAAAGACAUGGAGCAAAUCACCUCCCACCUACCAAAAUCAAUCUUUAGAACCAAGAUGAAAUAAGAAUUGAGAUAGUGUAAAUUGCCAAGGAGUCAGCAUGGAAGAAACUGAACAUGCAGACUUAGAGAAGCAAACACCUCGAGACAAGAUAAAAUCCAACCGAUCAGAACAUGAACAUAUCACGAUCUACAGUUUCCGGCUGAAAAACCGACAUGCAACAAUAUUGAUUGAAACACUGAGAUAAAAUAAAAGCUACACCCGACUCAGGCUCUAUGUGAGCAGCCGGAGUCAGACAUCGGAAGAGAUGAUUGAAGUUUUUUUUGUGGAGAAAAAGGAAAGGACUUG